This 31-nucleotide non-coding RNA is filed under the name Homo sapiens (human). Lineage: Eukaryota; Metazoa; Chordata; Mammalia; Primates; Hominidae. The record is from RNAcentral.
UGAGGGUGUUUAGCAAAGGUCUUAUCUCCCC